Molecule: long non-coding RNA, 1001 nt
Filed under: Apteryx haastii (Great spotted kiwi)
Lineage: Eukaryota; Metazoa; Chordata; Aves; Apterygiformes; Apterygidae
Description: lncRNA (ENSAHAG00000007248.1)
Source: RNAcentral
AGAGAGAGAGGGAGGAAGAGGGAGGAAAGGGAGGGAGGGAAGGGGAGAAGAGCGGAGAAGGAGGUGGCAAGCUGGGGACGAAAUCCUGCUCUCGGUUAUGGCCGGCGUAAAUUUCCAUUGGCUGGGGUUGCACAAGGUGCUUGGAGAGAAGUCGGUGCAGGAUGGAGUCCCUUUUGUGUGUGUGUGUGUGUGUGUGUGUGUGUGUGUGUGUGUGGUGUGUGCGCGCACGGUGCUGGGGACCCUCCUCUCGCGGGGAAGCGGGUUUUUCCUCCAGGUUUUCCCGUGCGACGCCGGCCCGCGGCGGGCAGGGGAGGGCGGCGGCGGCGGCGCUGCCCGCGCCCGCCCUCGCCGCUGACAGUCCGGGGCUCGCUCUGGCAUCGGGCUGGCCUUGGCUCCAGCUGAUGCAGGAGUUGGGAGCGGGCCGCAGCUCGCAAAACCCCCAGCCCCGUCUCUUAAUAACAAUAAUAAUAAUAAUAAUAAUAGCAGCGUUGGUCGGAGGGAGGAGGGCGGCAGGCGAGGAGCUGCGGAGGAAUUCGGUUCCUUUUCCUUUUCCCCCUUUUCUUUUCCUUGUAUUAUCCCUUAAAAAAAAAAAAAAAAGAUGUUUUAAAAAUGCAAGCGGCUUGCCCAGCUGCACACACCCACCCUCGCCUCCCUCCCCCGGCUUGCGCACACCGCACGCUCGCACUCGCUCGCUCGCCCGCGCCCGCUCGCUCGGGUGUCAAAACCCGCCGGGCGCCCAGCCUGGUCCGGGCACUGCCCCUGCCCCUGCCCCUGCCCCUGCCCCUGCCCCUGCCCUGCCCCGGCUCCGGCCCCGGCCCCGGUCCCGGUCCCGGUCCCGGUCCCGGCCCCAGCCCGCCCGGGGGCCCGCCCGCCCCCGCCUCCCCACCGCCGGGCUUUUCCCCCCUGCUCUUGGCGCUGAAGACUGGAGCCUCCCCCGCUUCCAAAUGUUAUGGUGCAUAUUGACUCCACGGACUACCCAGACAAGUAAUGCUGUGGGGUAA